UAUCUGCCUCAGGAUUGUGCUUUUGAAGUGGAUAUCCUGUGCAUUCCCACUUUCAGCACUGUAGUUCACAAGGAAGAUAUCAACUAGAUCACAUUUGAAAUAAACUAAACUAGGAUUGCUGAAACUAUUAAGAUUCUUGUGAAAGGGAACUCUGGCCUUGUGAUGAGAUUAAGAGUGAGUUGUAAGUAAAAAUUUCUCAAAUGUGCGGGUAUCUGCUCUUCAACACCGUUUUGCUCUGCAAAUCUUAUCUAUAGUACUUGCUAGUGUGGCCAUUCUCAUUUAGUUCAUAGAAUGAUAGUAUUUUGAAUUGGAUGGAACCUUUAAAGGUAGUCUAGUCUAGCUCCUCUGCAAUGAACAGGGACACUUACAGCUAGAUCAGGUUGCCUGACCUUAAGUGUGUCUAAGGGUGGGGCUUCCUGUCUCUCUGGGCAACCUAUUUCAGUGUCUCACCACCAAUUCAGUACAAAAAAAAAAAAAGAAAAAAAAACCUUUUCCUUGCAUCCAAUCUACAUUAAGUAUUUUUCUUAUUUGACUUUAAUAUUCUCAACAUCUCUACUGCGGGCUAGGGCUAAAACUCAAGAAAAUUGCACAGUUUGUCAUCACCAUUGUGAAUGACACUAGUCUUGUCAUUACUUCUCUGUUUGAAUCUCUGAGACGUGGAAAUAAUUUUUGCCCAAGUUUAAGUGUUUGUACAUUUACUAUACCUGAACAAAACCUUGAUGCUCUUGCUACUACUGAAUUUCAGACAGCCUGUUUUCUAAUAUCCUGAGCACAUACAUAAUAAAAAAACAUAAUCGGGAAAUGUGGACAAAUUACCAUAAUGUCAUUUCUUUUUUCCUGUGAAGAAAGAUUAGAGAUACAGUGUAGUCAGAAAGCAGUUCCAGUAAGACCUCAAAGAGUAUUAAACAUAUUACAGUAAAAUUGUCUGGAAGAAGACUGGUAUUUUGCUGAAAGAAAUAGGAUUGAAUGCUUCCUUUAAGUGUGGUCAGUAGUCUUUACAUUUAUCUAUUAGCUCUGAGAGAAUUAUGUAGAUUACUCAGUGGUAGAAACAUCGUCAUUUACAUAGGUAUUUAUUUAUCUGUAUUUUUAUUUACUUUUAUGGGUACUUUGUGAAGCUAACAGCAUAACAUAAAAUUUUUCCCUAAUCUUUGUGUUGAAGGUACAACUGACUGAAAGUGUUGCAUAACUUGGCAAUGAUAAAAUAAAGAAUCUGAUCCUGACAGAAACAAAAGCAGUCUUUUUUUUCUGGGAGAAAUUAUUCAUACUGAAAUAACAUUUCAACAAUAAAACAUAAAAGUGAUACCUAGUCAGAGAUCAUUAAAAAGUAUCCUGUCAUUUGAAUCAGACCGUGUAUUGUAAUGCAGAUUAUAUUGAUUUAGUUUCAAAUUGAAACUAGAGGUUCCCCCCAAGUGAUAACAGGUACAGAAUCUCUUUGAAUUAUGCUGGUGAGCAAUGGGAUACUUGGUACAUCUCUCUUACCAAAAACUUGAGAUCAGAAGAUUAUUAGCUGGAGGUUUUUAGACUUCUUUCUGGAAGCUCAAUAAAUUAUUAACUGUAUUCAUACCAUUUGCAGUACUGCCAGUAGAUAGUGGGUUUUUUCCCUCUUAAAAAAAAAAAAAAAAAGGAAGAAAUGGUGCUGUGCUCUUACUUUUGUUGUAAAGCAGAGCGUAAUUCAUCUUAUUCUUUUCACUGAUUAAGAGACAUUGCCUUUACUCAAGUAGGGGCAAGAUACCCUUUCCCAAAACCCACAUUCAAACCUUCCACAUUAUAGUUCUCUGGAACUACCAAGGCUGUACAAACUGUUCUUGUGUCUUUUUGAAAAUGUCCUAAUGUUACAGCUCUUACCUUUAGCAGAUACUGCAUCCCACCUCCUCAAAGGAGUAAGAAAAGCCAUAACUGAAUGGUGUAUGAAGACUGUGACUGCUAGAAUUAUCCUCUCAUAAUUUCUAUGAAAUCUUAGAGUAUCAAAUGUGAUAGCAAAGUUCUCAGAGUUAAUCUGAUGAAUCCAUGUCAUGCAAAAUUGUGUCUUCCUACCACUUAGGUAUAGUGAUCUUUCAUUUGUGUCCUGCCAACUGAAGCCCAUUGCAGUACAGUGUGUUUCAGUUUCCAUGACAAUUCACGAAAAGUUCUGUGGGAACAUACACCAGUACACCAAGGCUAAUGAGGUGCUCUUGAGUUCUGAAAGACAAAUGACUGUGUAAAUCUGCCUCAGCUGAAAGCCAGUAACAGCAAGCCUGAUUCAGUUAUACUAAGGUCUCUUUGGGUUGUUUUGAUGGACUGAAGAAAUCUGAUGGUUAUAGGAAUGACACCUUGUGUGUAAGUGGUAACCAUAGCCAGUGCAGAGCAAUUAUUACGAUGUGAAUCAGCUACAGUCCCUAAAGUGAAAGCUGAACUAAGGGAAGAGGAGGAAACUAAAGAGUGAAUGAAUCUAGGGCUUUAUACUGGUCUCUACUCUUGCGUCCUUUGAUUAGGAAAGAUCUGUUGUUAAGGGAGACCACUGGAGUUCAAACCCUUAUUGAUUUUUUUCACUGCUGAGGACAUAGGGCCUCAGCCUGCAUCUAAGUGUUGAAGUACAAAUUCUGAGUGAUUCAGUGCUCAGCUUUUCUCCUCAGCACUUUCUUGUGUUGCAAAAAUUGCAUAUUUGAGAGCUGGGACUAGAGAGUGGAAUGAGAUCAGAAUUUCCAAGAAGCUGGUGAUAGUACCUUUGAGGAUCACAACAAUACUAAAAACUACUGUAGAUUUUCAUUACUUUUCAGAGAAACUGCAUUGAAUUUCUGCUUCCUUGAUGUCUUGUGUCAGAUACGUCAGGUUUUGUUUCACAUUAGUUCUGGCUUUGAAAAUAUUAUUUUACCAUUUCUUUCCCUGAAAGACUUUCAAACUAAAGUGAAAGAGCUGUGAUUCUUUUUUUUUUUCUUUUUUAGCUUGAUUUAGUACUCUGAAGCAAGCUCUCUCUCUGUACUCAUAUAUUCUUCCUGUUAUUGAAUUUAGCUCUUGUAGGAAAAAUAACCUUUCAGGCUGUGUCCCUAUUCCAGAAGAGAGAUGAUGUGAACAUCUAUUCUCUGUCCCUGUCAUUACUCUGUCAGCACGUUCACCUUACAUCUCAGGAAGCUCUUCUUAAUCAUAAACAACAGUUCUUUCUUAGAUCUGUUUCAUCUUGGGCAUUUUUGCCAUGCCUGUUGUGAUGGUGUGAAGUUGCAGAGGUUGGAUUUUUCUUGUGGCAUUUUCUUAAUUGGGAUUUGGAUUGAGUCUGCUAUUUUGUGUCACAUAAACUAAUGAAUAUGGAACACUGUGCAGGCAGUUCAAAUCAUCCUACAAGUUUAAGUAGCCAAUUUCUGUCAGUUCCUGUCAAAAUUAUACCUUUUAUAAUUUUGGAAGGAUUUCUUAUAACAUACUAAAAAUGUAGCAGAGCUGUAUCCCCUAUAUUGUGCCAGAACUUCAGCUGAAUGUACGUUGCUUAGUGCUAAUAUGGUAAUUUAGCAUAAUUUGUGUAUUUCUAAAGGAAAAAAGGGGAGGUGUCUGACCAGGUGCAAGUCUAAAAGCCUUUCAGUGUUGUUAAAUUGCUGGAUUUCAGUACAGAUAGUUGAAUGUUGAUUGAAAGUAAGUUAGAAAGGAUUACAGGAAAAACAAAAUCUAGAUUGUGGACCUUAAGGUAGUAGGCUUGCUCUUAAAAGAUGUAGAUUUUUGUCCCUGUAAUGUUCACGAGCUUCCACCCUUAUAAAGCUUUUUUGUUUGAAAAGCUUUUCCUGAGAGAUUAUGCAGUUUUGUGCAAACACAAAUAUGAGAGACUUAUUACUAUCUGAAAAUGAGCAUUCACUAUUUGGACUUGUCUUCUUGUGUAAUAUACUGUGUACCACUUUGUUCGACAUUGUUUUUAUUUUCUCUAAUGUUCAAAAUCUGCUGGAGAAAUACUCUCACUCUUGUUUGUUUUUUCAGGAGCUGUGUGUCUUUACCAAAUGUUAGAUUUUUUUUUUUCAGUGCACUGUGGUUGUGCCAAAAGUAAUCAUUGCCCUUUUCAGUGUUUGGAUCCUGGAUUUCAAUUAGUUAUGCUGUUAUUUAUUGCUGUCUUACAGAAGACUUAGUAAUGCAUAUGUACCAUGGCCAUAGCAGUUAUGGAGAAGAGCUAAAUUAAUGGCAAGUUCAUGGAAGAGAGCUAACUGGCAAGGGAAGCCAGUGAAUUAAUCAGUCUGAAUUACAGCUUAGAUUGUUCAAUGUGGAGUUCAUAGAAAGCAGACUUAGAUGUGUCAGUACAGCAAAUAGUAUUGGAAAUUUUUGUUCAGUAAUUCUUAAAUGAUCAGAAGGGUCAGUUUGAUCUGUACAGUUGCAAGAUAUAAAGUCACUUCUGUAAUUAACUUCUUUUUGUUUGUUUGUUUCAAGCUCUCACCCCUGAUAGUGUGGAACUGCUUUGAGAAAGAAGCUAGUACUUCAGAUUGAGGUUUCCUGGAAUGUAUUCCAGUUGACUGGGCUAGCAUUUGCCUCCUUUUCAGGCAUGUGAACUGAGGUUCACCUAGUAAUUUCUAAAGCUAGUCAUCUCGCUCUAAGUGGGUCAUUCACUUUUUAUCUUAUUGGAAAGAAACAAAAACAUCAAGCAAAGACAAGUAUCUCUCAUCUUUACAGUGGAAUGAGGUACAUUUCAGAGGUACCUAUUUCUCCCUGGCAAUUGUAGAAGAUUCUAGUCUAGAGCACAGCUAGUCUUAGCUAACCUUUCAAUGCCUGUUAGGUAGCAUGACUAUAGUCUUGAUCCUUAUGUCCAAGUUCACAAUUUGUCACUGCAUCUUCUCAGAAGACUUGAGCCAUGUAGUGAAAUCGUAGAAACACUUAAAAAAAAAAAAAAAUCCUAAAACUCAUUCAACCAGGAAAAAGCACUUAUUUAGCUGGAGGUUAGGCAUGCCCCCAUUUGAACUCUUCCUUAAACAUGUAUGAUUAAGCUCUGGAAGCAGUCUUUGACAACAUUCAUGAAUCACUAGAGCUGUGUCAUAUUGCUGUGCAAAUAAGUGACAAAGGAAGAUCUUAAUUUGUACUAGCUCUUGGGUCAGUUGGAGAGGUUCAAAAGAGAUGAAAGAUGUCUUUGUAGACUGGAAACUGACCCAAUAACAAAAACUGUAGAGUCACAAUGAUAUAUCCCCACUUAUUCAUGACCCUCUAACAAAAAGAUUCUGGGAGAGAGUUUGUCUAUGGUUUUAACAUUCUACACUGAAAGAAUAUUAUAUGGCAAAUCAUGUAGGCACAGGGAGCUUGUUGUAAUGAUUCUGCACACAAGUUUUGCUCACGUGACUGCUUCCAGUUCUAAAAGGAAUAUCUUAAUGAUGUGAAUACCAUUUAUCAGCAGUUAAGGGUAGAGGUGAUAAGGCUACAUUCCUAAAGAUGGAAUCUAUUUUGAGGACUUGGUAUUCACUUCUACCUUUUCAAAAAUAUGUAGAAGUAUGUGAAGUAUAAAAAAUAACAGUAUAUUUCCUGAUGAAUUCCAACUGAUAAAAUUGCUAGUCCCUGACAGUGACCGGGCUUAAGACUUUCUUUUAGUCAGGGCUCAUGAAACAAUCCAUGUGUACAUAUUAAGUGGAUUCUAGGGUGCAUUUUCACCAUUGCUUACUGUAAAUAAACAAAUUAACAUUAAAAUAUGGUAAUAGCAGCACCAAAGUUUUAAGAUGGUUUUUUUUUUUCCCCCACACUGUAACUCAUUUCUUCUGGUAUGUGUACACCAUAUUGCACAGUUUGUUUUUAGAAGUCAUUGUGUUUGCUGUAUCUGGAAGGUUGCAUCUAGCAAAUGCCUGCACUUCUAGCACUGACCAAAUUAAGUUUUCCCAAUAGCAUCUUACUGGAGUUGGUUCUUUGCCUACACCCAUGCAGAGUACACAUUUAAUACAGUGAGAACCUAACUUGGAAGGAUGUUCUGAUCUGUUAUGCCCAAAAGUAACAACUACACUAUUAAGGAAGUGUGCAAAAACAUAGAAAAGCAUAAUGUUAUACAAGAUAUUUGUAUUUGUUACUUCUAGUUUGCUUGUCAAAAGACUGACAUAUUCUACAGGGGAUUUCACAAGGCAGCCAGAGCAACCAAAAUUUUAAUUGACAGCCAAAAUAUCACUCAUGUCAACUUCCUUUGUAUUUCAGAAGAGUUAAUAUAGGAAAUAUUUGUGCAAGGAUAGGAAACUCUACAACUUCCCUUGUUGUGUUUAUCAUCCACUGUAAAAAUCCUUUGCAGUUCAUCCCUCCUGUCUCACCGAUGUUCUGAUGUUGGUGUCAUUAGCAAGAUCCACUGAAACUGAUAGUUCAACAGAAAUAUUUGGGAACAAAAAAAAAACCAAAACUCUGCAUAGGAAAGCAAUCAAACACAAGUACACUGGCAAGCUCAGCAUGACAUAAGUUGAGAUGAAACUUCGUAAAGGGACGAACUGUUUCUUGCUUGAGAAGUAGAAGCAGUGUUAUGAUGUGCUUUGUAGUCUUGAUUAUUAAAAUAAUUUUGAAGUGUAACCCUAACAUAAAAGCAAUGUUAACACUAAUCAAAUUCAAAUUUGUUGUAUAAAUAGUUAUUUACUUUACAGGACAUACAAGGAAGCUGUGCAACUGGCUAUUGUUUAUGCCAAAGGACUUGAAAGGUGCAGGAAAGCAAGUAACAGGAGAAUGUUGAAGGAGAAAAUAGUAUCAACCUUCCUCCAUAUUUCCUUCUUUUCUUGGAGGUUUCUAUUGUUUUCCUUUUUUCUUUCUUUUUACCACUUUUCAAUUUCCCAGUAAUAUUGUGAUAAUCCUACCUAUGUCCACAUAUUCUUUAGCUCUGGAUCUCUGCUUUUAAUGUGGCCAUUUGCAGUAUAGAUAACAGAUGGUUCCGUUUUGGAAGAGGAUUUUAGGUGGAAUUUAGGAGAAAAGUAGGCAGAAUUUGAACUAUUUCUUGGAAUUACCUCUUCUAUGUACUGCCUCAAUUAUAAAAGAGUAAAAAAAUAUAACAAUUGGUUUAUUCAGAGGGGAGAUAACUGUUUCAUCUGCAUUCUUCUGUGCCAUUCAGAAGACAGCUGUCAGACUAAAUAAAAAUGUGAUAAAAACAGACUCAUCUUUUAAAUUGAUUUUAAUCUAUCUGCAUCCAGCCAUAAAAUGCUCCCCAUUGAUGAUAUGGCAAAUAGUGUGAAUACAAUUAGUUAGCAAUUCAAUGUGCCUUCCAGAAAACAGGCUCUAAACCUUCCUGGGAAUAACUUUCUUUUAUCUUAACCAAUGAUUAUUUAUUUGUUUGAGACAUGAAACCACUAGGUUUUAGAAUCUCUUCAGAUCUGUAUUUUUUAAGAAGCAAAGUAACUAACAGUGGCAUGUCCUACCAUAUAGAAACUUUGCUGAAAACAUAGCAUUUACAUAUUUUUCUUUUUUGCCAGUCCUAGUGAACUGAUGAUUCUAGAGAGUACUCUGCAGAACUGUAGUAACUCUUGACUUUAUUAUAUUAUUUUAAAAGUAGAGUUACCAUGAUUGGUGAUGGAAAAACAAACAGAAGGCUAAUUUUUAUGUAUUUUGUGAUCAAAAGUACAAUUUAAUACAAUUAUUCACCCACAAUACCAAAUCAAAAUUGGUAGUCAGUCCAUGAGCGUACCACAUGUCAUAGCUAAGUUAGUCUUGAGUACUCUGCAGUAAAAGUGAAAGUCUUCAGUGAACAACUCUGCUUCAGUUACCAAUGCUACUAAUUAUCUCAAAUCAAUUACGUACUGCUCUUUCUGGAUUACAGGCUAGCUUUAAGCAUCCUCAGCCAUAUUGAAUUCCUUCUCUCAGCAACUGUGUAACUAUAAUAAUUGUUUGCUCUAGAUGAUCCACCAAUUAGUUGCUGCACGCAAUGCUACACAAUAAUAAGGAGAAGCUGUUAUUCAUCUGUUCUCACUGGGAGAUGGGCUUCUCCCAGGCUCUCACUGAAAUGCUGAAGGAGGUUGUUUCCUUUGGAGUUUUUCAUUUAUUGUGAUUACCUGAGGCUAAUGAGAUGGCUCCACAAAAUGACCAGAAAUGAAUGAAAACACCCUGUUCUUAUCACUGCUUGUAACGUUUGUACCCAGUCUUACAGCUGGUUCCCCAAUUUCCAUCCAUUUCUAACAGAUCAUCAACAGGCAAGUAAGAGCCUCACGUGUUUCUGGCAGCUGGAAGAAUUCAAAUUCUGGUUAACUCACUGCUUCUGUGCUGGUUUGAAGUACCUACCUCACUGUUCAGUGUUUUUCAAGGCCAGCCUGGCCCUAUGAGUAACCCUGCCAUUUAUGUGUUAUUGGCUCUCUUAUUGGUGUAAUUGCAAGUCUCCAUAGUUACUGAGCCUACCUUGAAUGUAGAUAAUUUCUUUUCUGAUCUCUUCAGAGGGAGCUACCUCUAGAUUAUUACUUAAUCUCAGUUGAUUUGCACUCUGUACUACAAGGAGAAUUGAAAUUUUUACAGGAAAACUCCUGAGAGAUUUUUCACCAAUGAGGCUUUCCUAGUAGAUGGAGUCUUUUGUACUUUUCCGGCACAUACUAAGACUUCCUGACUCCCUAGUUUGUGAUACUUUUAAAAUCAUUUACUGUCUUAAUUUUAGAUAAACUGAAGAUGGUUUAGUCUAUGUAUUUUUACAUAGUGGCCAUUCAUUCCAGUUAUGUUUGUAUGUGUAAGGAAAGGUAAAUCUUUCCUUAAUUCCCAAAAUUUAUCUUUCUGGAGAAGAAGUGAAUGACCUUUAUUAACGUAGUAGUAUUGCACAUUUUUCUUUUCCAAGAAGUUUCUAUGAAAGCAGAGCUACAGGCAUAAUAUAUUACUGAAAUAAACAUAGUGAAAAAUCACUUUAACAGAAUUUUUAGUUGUCACCUAGUGAUCCCUACCUUUAGUUUAAGUACUCUCUAUGGAAUAACAUGAAGUUAUUUUUGCCUGAAGGCUAUUUCUUUUAGAUAUAUGAAAAAUACUUGUGAUUUAUAUAAACCAGCUUAUUUCCUUAUGUGAUUUUUACGUAUAGGACUUUCACUAUCAAUUCACUUGACAUCGUCUGGAAGUCAGAUAUAAUUACAAAAAGCUGAAAGCAUUUGUUUACUGCAAUAACUUUCUGAACUGUAGGAGGAAUAUGUGCUCAUGCUAGAAAAUAUUCUUAUAUUUAAUCUUACGAGGAUUAUGCUGCUAAGUGCAUAAUCUAAUGUUAAACAUAUCUUCACUCCUUAAUAGAUCCUCAGUGGAUUCCCACAGUGUGGCAGCCUAAACAUCAAUAUAUGAGUGAGCUUCAUUUCUCUGAUUGUUAAAG
Molecule: long non-coding RNA, 9205 nt
Filed under: Gallus gallus (chicken)
Lineage: Eukaryota; Metazoa; Chordata; Aves; Galliformes; Phasianidae
Source: RNAcentral